AGCGAGAUCUUCGGAUCUAGCGGCGGACGGGUGAGUAACGCGUGGGAAUAUGCCCUUCUCUACGGAAUAGUCCCGGGAAACUGGGUUUAAUACCGUAUACGCCCUUCGGGGGAAAGAUUUAUCGGAGAAGGAUUAGCCCGCGUUGGAUUAGGUAGUUGGUGGGGUAAUGGCCUACCAAGCCUACGAUCCAUAGCUGGUUUGAGAGGAUGAUCAGCCACACUGGGACUGAGACACGGCCCAGACUCCUACGGGAGGCAGCAGUGGGGAAUCUUAGACAAUGGGGGAAACCCUGAUCUAGCCAUGCCGCGUGAGUGAUGAAGGCCUUAGGGUUGUAAAGCUCUUUCAGCUGGGAAGAUAAUGACGGUACCAGCAGAAGAAGCCCCGGCUAACUCCGUGCCAGCAGCCGCGGUAAUACGGAGGGGGCUAGCGUUGUUCGGAAUUACUGGGCGUAAAGCGCACGUAGGCGGACUGGAAAGUUGGGGGUGAAAUCCCGGGGCUCAACCUCGGAACUGCCUCCAAACUAUCAGUCUGGAGUUCGAGAGAGGUGAGUGGAAUACCGAGUGUAGAGGUGAAAUUCGUAGAUAUUCGGUGGAACACCAGUGGCGAAAGCGGCUCACUGGCUCGAUACUGACGCUGAAGUGCGAAAGCGUGGGGAGCAACAGGAUUAGAUACCCUGGUAGUCCACGCCGUAACGAUGAAUGCCAGUCGUCGGGCAGCUUGCUGUUCGUGACCCACCUAACGGAUUAGCAUUCCCCUGGGGAGUACGGUCGCAGAUUAAACUCAAAGGAAUUGACGGGGGCCGCACAAGCGUGGAGCUGUGGUUUAAUUCAAGCACGCGCAGAACUUACCACCCUUGACUGGCAGGACGCUGG
This 872-nucleotide ribosomal RNA is filed under the name Paracoccus seriniphilus. Its description in RNAcentral is "bacterial SSU rRNA". It matches the Rfam family "Bacterial small subunit ribosomal RNA", at positions 65 to 999 of the family's 1533-position model. The record is from RNAcentral. Lineage: Bacteria; Pseudomonadati; Pseudomonadota; Alphaproteobacteria; Rhodobacterales; Paracoccaceae.